GACCCAAGGUGGCGUAGUGGUGUGAGUGUUGGACUCUGGCUCUGGAAACAAGGGUUCAAUUCCCUGUCUGGCCA
Phrynosoma platyrhinos (Desert horned lizard) is the source of this 74-nucleotide non-coding RNA. The record is from the annotation of a GenBank genome assembly. NCBI's taxonomy places the organism in Eukaryota, Metazoa, Chordata, Lepidosauria, Squamata, Phrynosomatidae.